GCACGGCCCCAGCGCUGACAGGAUGUGAUGGAGCUGCUUGAAGAAGAUCUCACGUGCCCUAUUUGUUGUAGUCUGUUUGAUGAUCCACGGGUUUUGCCGUGCUCCCACAACUUCUGCAAAAAAUGCUUAGAAGGGAUCUUAGAGGGGAGUGUGCGGAAUUCCUUGUGGAGACCAGCUCCUUUCAAGUGUCCUACGUGCCGUAAGGAAACUUCAGCUACUGGAAUUAAUAGCCUGCAGGUUAAUUACUCCCUGAAGGGUAUUGUGGAAAAGUAUAACAAGAUCAAGAUCUCUCCCAAAAUGCCAGUAUGCAAAGGACACUUGGGGCAGCCUCUCAACAUUUUCUGCCUGACUGAUAUGCAGCUGAUUUGUGGGAUCUGUGCUACUCGUGGGGACCACACCAAGCAUGUCUUCUGUUCUAUUGAAGAUGCCUAUGCUCAGGAAAGGGAUGCCUUUGAGUCCCUCUUUCAGAGCUUUGAGACCUGGCGUCGGGGAGAUGCUCUUUCUCGCUUGGAUACCUUGGAAACUAGUAAGAGGAAAUCCCUACAGUUACUGACUAAAGAUUCAGAUAAAGUGAAGGAAUUUUUUGAGAAGUUACAACACACAUUGGAUCAAAAGAAGAAUGAAAUUCUGUCUGACUUUGAGACCAUGAAACUUGCUGUUAUGCAAGCAUAUGACCCAGAGAUCAACAAACUCAACACCAUCUUGCAGGAGCAACGGAUGGCCUUUAACAUUGCUGAGGCUUUCAAAGAUGUGUCAGAACCCAUUGUAUUUCUGCAACAGAUGCAGGAGUUCAGGGAGAAAAUCAAAGUAAUCAAGGAAACUCCUUUACCUCCCUCUAAUUUGCCUGCAAGCCCCUUAAUGAAGAACUUUGAUACUAGUCAAUGGGAAGACAUAAAACUAGUUGAUGUGGAUAAACUUUCUUUGCCUCAAGACACUGGCACAUUCAUUAACAAGAUUCCCUGGAGCUUUUAUAAGUUAUUUUUGCUAGUCCUGCUUGGCCUUGUCGUUCUCUUUGGUCCUACCAUGUUCCUAGAAUGGUCAUUAUUUGAUGACCUGGCAACUUGGAAAGACUGUCUUUCAGACUUUAGUUCCUAUCUGACUAAAUCAGUCGAUUUUAUAGAACAAUCAGUUUUUUACUGGGAACAGGUGACAGAUGGGUUUUUCAUUUUCAAUGAAAGAUUCAAGAAUUUUACGUUGGUGGUACUGAACAAUGCGGCAGAAUUUGUGUGCAAAUAUAAACUAUUAUAAAAUCUGUUUCAAGUAUGCAGUUCUCUUUUGUUAGAAAUUGUCAGAGAAUAGAGAGUGGUAAUUCAGAUUUGGUUAAUGAUUCUAGUCACAUAUUUUCCUCCAAAAGUAUUCCUUCCAAAAAUAAUCUAUACAUGUUCAAAUUAGGUAGCAUAAAGAUAAAAGUGAAAUUUAGUAGUAUAGACCUGAACCCUUUUUUGUUUAAAGAGUGCUUUUGACAUAAGCAUCCACCCCAAAUAUUGGUUGUAUUUAUGCUGUGAUAAAAAUAGGUGAGAGAUCAUAUGAUCUAAUAUUGUAUUGAUGGAGGUAUAGGUAGUAUAAUAGUGACUGUUCAUGAAGCACGCAGUAAAGACCACUUUUCUUUUUUUUUUUAGAUGGAGUCUUGCUCUGUUGCCCAGGUUGGAGUGCAGUGGUGCAAUCUCGGCUCAUUGCAGCCUCAAUCUCCCAGGUAUGUUUCUAUAAAACCUGAUAACCGAAAAUUGGCCAACGGAACAAAUGUCCUCGGCUUACUGAUUGAUACUUUAUUAAAAGGAAGGCUUUCAUUUGGUCAGCACUAGAACAGUACCCUCUGAAGACAAAACUGAAUGCUAUAGCUUUGAAAAGAUAAAAAGCCCUGAAGCACUCAUCAUGAAUGAAACACCAAAACCAGAGACUACAUACCAGAGCAAUCUCAGAUAAAGAAAUGAAGUUGUCUAUUAAGAGAAAUUGUCAUUUUUCUUGUUUCAUUACAUAUUUAGGGCAUACAUGUUAGCCAAAUCUAUACUCAGCCUAACUCUUGGCUUCAUCUGCUACCAUGCCAUCUCUGGGCAACCAGGCCCCAACUGUGCUUAAGCCAUAAUGCUUGCUGCUCUCUAGACAACUCCAUGUACUUGGUGCUUUGGUAUGUGUUCUACCUUCAAUACAUCUUUCCCUUACUCUUCUUCAUGAAUGCUUAUGAGCCAAGAUUGCACCACUGCACACUAGCUUGGGUGACAGAGCAAGACUGUCU
Molecule: RNA transcript, 2233 nt
Organism: Piliocolobus tephrosceles (Ugandan red Colobus)
Lineage: Eukaryota; Metazoa; Chordata; Mammalia; Primates; Cercopithecidae
Gene: TRIM13
Gene name: tripartite motif containing 13
Exons: 3
Source: RefSeq, a predicted model, not a curated record